ACAACCCGGAAAAUCUUGAUUAUUGUUCUUUUGCCGUAAAAAGUUAAGAGCAUUCACUUAGGGUGAGUAAGAAAUAAGUUGGGGAGAAUCGGUAAGUACCACAACUCUUGAAAAAAAUAAAAGAAAAACCGAGCAAGCAUUGAAAAUAAAAAUAUAGAAAAGAAACAUCUGUUUUGUAAAUAUGAUGUGAAAGAAAAGAACAAAAAUAGAAAGAAUGAAAAUGAAUGCUUGCUUGGAAGAAAAAUAGUGAAAAAUAAAAAUUGAGUUGUGGAAUAUGAGUUGUGAAGGUUUCAAAUAAGAAACAAAUGAAACAAAGUCGAGAUGUGUGAAUAAUAUACUGUGAAUGUCUCUUUUGCAUCGGCACUUUCGUUUCAAUGGCCUUAGAAAUGACCCUUGUUUGUUAACCUAACCAAGCUUCAACCGAAAAGCCCUUAGUGAUCUUUAUGCUUCCACAUUACCAUUUAUAAUUGUUAGACAUUGUAUGAAUCUAUUUGAUUUCUUCAUUGUUUGUUAGAGAGUGAGAUUAUUCCCGCGGUUGCAAACGCGUAAAUUCUUCAUUCCUUAUUCGAAGAGGAGAGAUAGGGUGAUUCAUUCAGAAUAAUAUUGUUGUAGAUAGAUAAAUAUUUCGCAUAGCUAUUAAGUUUUAGUUCUUG
Molecule: long non-coding RNA, 653 nt
Filed under: Lathyrus oleraceus (garden pea)
Lineage: Eukaryota; Viridiplantae; Streptophyta; Magnoliopsida; Fabales; Fabaceae
Description: Pisum sativum (pea) long non-coding RNA (PSAT_LNC017008)
Source: RNAcentral